RNAcentral lists this ribosomal RNA (253 nucleotides) under uncultured bacterium. RNAcentral describes it as "partial 16S ribosomal RNA". It matches the Rfam family "Bacterial small subunit ribosomal RNA", at positions 524 to 776 of the family's 1533-position model. The record is from RNAcentral.
UACGGAAGGGGCAAGCGUUGUUCGGAAUCAUUGGGCGUAAAGGGCGCGUAGGUGGUUCUGUAUGUCUACCGUGAAAGCAUACAGCUCAACUGUAUUUUGUCGGUAGAAACUGCAGGACUUGAGGCUGGGAGGGGCUGGUGGAAUUCCCAGUGUAGCGGUGAAAUGCGUAGAUAUCAGGAGGAACACCGGUGGCGAAGGCGGGUCUCUGGGCCGAUACUGACGCUGAGGAGCGAAAGCGUGGGGAGCAAACAGG